RNAcentral lists this long non-coding RNA (464 nucleotides) under Equus caballus (horse). RNAcentral's name for it is "lncRNA (ENSECAG00000052188.1)". The record is from RNAcentral. Lineage: Eukaryota; Metazoa; Chordata; Mammalia; Perissodactyla; Equidae.
CGCGUGGAUAAGGGAGGAGUAGGGGGAUCCGUAAAAAGACUGUUUCUGACCUCUUUUCCCUCAGGCUGAGCAGAAAGCUGAGAGAGAAAAAGAUGACAUCUCCUCACUGGCAUCCCAGAGAAUUUCCUAGAAUCUAAGAAUGUCCAUGUUGGAAGCAAACUCACUGUGGAGUCCUGUUCCUUCCUCGACUUUCUAACAACCCACCAGUGGCCUGGGCAGCGUAGGAAGAGAGCAGGAACUUUGGGGAACAAGAGUUUGAGAACCCCGUCUGCUCCAUCUGCUCCAGUUCUGUGAAAACCACAUGGAGACCGUCUCCGCUGAGUGGAGUAUUCCUGUUCCUCGAGGAAUGCCCUGUGGGAUUCCAUUCCUUUUCCCCUCCUCCCUUCAGCCUGGGCCAGCCAUGUGGCGUGACAUCCUUGUGGCUCCUGGGCCUCCCCCAACCCCGCCCCUCUUGCUCUUUUGUC